RNAcentral lists this ribosomal RNA (447 nucleotides) under uncultured bacterium. RNAcentral's name for it is "SSU rRNA". It matches the Rfam family "Bacterial small subunit ribosomal RNA", at positions 26 to 518 of the family's 1533-position model. The record is from RNAcentral.
AGAGCGAACGCUGGCGGCAGGCUUAACACAUGCAAGUCGAGCGGGCGUAGCAAUACGUCAGCGGCAGACGGGUGAGUAACGCGUGGGAACAUACCUUUUGGUUCGGAACAACCCAGGGAAACUUGGGCUAAUACCGGAUAAGCCCUUACGGGGAAAGAUUUAUCGCCGAAAGAUUGGCCCGCGUCUGAUUAGCUAGUUGGUGAGGUAACGGCUCACCAAGGCGACGAUCAGUAGCUGGUCUGAGAGGAUGAUCAGCCACAUUGGGACUGAGACACGGCCCAAACUCCUACGGGAGGCAGCAGUGGGAAUAUUGGACAAUGGGCGCAAGCCUGAUCCAGCCAUGCCGCGUGAGUGAUGAAGGCCCUAGGGUUGUAAAGCUCUUUUGUGCGGGAAGAUAAUGACGGUACCGCAAGAAUAAGCCCCGGCUAACUUCGCGCCAGCAGCCGC